GAUGAACGCUGGCGGCGUGCCUAAUACAUGCAAGUCGAGCGAACAGACGAGGAGCUUGCUCCUCUGACGUUAGCGGCGGACGUGUGAGUAACACGUGGAUAACCUACCUAUACGACUGGGAUAACUUCGGGAAACCGGAGCUAAUACCGGAUAACAUGUUGAACCGCAUGGUUCAACAGUGAAAUACGGUCUUACUGUCACUUAUAGAUGGAUCCGCGCCGCAUUAGCUAGUUGGUAAGGUAACGGCUUACCAAGGCAACGAUGCGUAGCCGACCUGAGAGGGGGACGGCCACACUGGGACCGGAGAACGGGUCAAGCCUCCUACGGGAGGCAGCAGUAGGGAAUCUUCGGAAAUGGGCGAAAGCCUGCCGGAGAAACGCGGGGUGAGUGAAGAAGGUCUUCGGAUCGUAAAACUCUGUUAUUAGGGAAGAAGAAAUGUGUAAGUAACUAUGCACGUCUUGACGGUACCUAAUCAGAAAGCCACGGCUAACUACGUG
Molecule: ribosomal RNA, 497 nt
Filed under: uncultured bacterium
Lineage: Bacteria
Description: partial 16S ribosomal RNA
Rfam family: Bacterial small subunit ribosomal RNA
Source: RNAcentral